AGGUAGAUAGGUUCGGGGUGGAAGCGUGGCAACACGCGGAGCUGACGAAUACUAAUCGGUCGAGGGCUUAACCA
RNAcentral lists this ribosomal RNA (74 nucleotides) under Aneurinibacillus migulanus. RNAcentral describes it as "partial 23S ribosomal RNA". The record is from RNAcentral. Lineage: Bacteria; Bacillati; Bacillota; Bacilli; Caryophanales; Paenibacillaceae.